Molecule: long non-coding RNA, 36721 nt
Filed under: Triticum aestivum (bread wheat)
Lineage: Eukaryota; Viridiplantae; Streptophyta; Magnoliopsida; Poales; Poaceae
Description: long non-coding RNA (TAES_LNC017919)
Source: RNAcentral
AAAUCAGUAUUUCUCCUGGUUGGAAUGCUUGAUCCUUUCGUGGCUUAACUAGAACUUCAGUCAAUAAGUAGCUAUUAUGUCGAGUAGCUGUAUCUUCAUAAUGCUUUAUUUAUGUUUAGCUUAUCCUUCGGUGUGCUUUGUCAUGAGUGGAGUUUCAGGUUGCUUUAUCUCUAGUUUAAAGCUAGAGUAGCUUCACUGCUUAUGGACCAAAUUAUCUAGUUGUAUCUCUAUUCUACAGAAUCAUAUAUUCGUGUUUGACUGUAGUAUUUAUGCUGGAUACUCUCUCCCUAUUGUGUUAAGUCUGAAACGUUUAUCGCUGGUGGUUGUGUUCAUCUCUGGUUCCUUGCUUUGCUUUAGCUCGCCUUGGAGUUAAGGUGUUACUUUUAUUCUUCAAAUUUGACGGCUUGCAACAGAUGCUAAUCCUGAAACUAUGCACUGAUAGAAGCUUGUUACCGUAGCUGCUUCAAACGGACGGUCAAGUGUAGUCCGCUUCUUUAUGUAACUGGAAUGUGACAUCCUAUGUAUACAUUUGUUUUGACAAACAUUGUUCGUAUGCAUGAUGAAGCUGUGAAUAUGUUUCAGGGUUAGCGUCUGAUGUUUGGUAUGUAGAUUGAUAAAACAGGCAUAGUAGAGGGAACUGAUUAGCCCUUCAAGCCUUUUGGUCUUAAAUUUUGCUAGUACGUUUGCAGUGAUAAAGAGCUUACUAGCAGCAAGAUGGUAGCAUCAACUUCUAAGGUAGUGUAGAUGCCAAAAAAUCAGUGAUGCUACAUGAUGAAUGAUGUACAGGUAGAAACCCUAGAGUACAGUAGCGAGGCAUUUGGCAAGUAAAAUAAUUGUCCUUCCUCCUUCGUUUCGUUUCUGUACAGGUUGCACGUGACGCCAUUCUGUGUAAAGAAUGUCCAAGUGAGGGUGAAAAUGAUAUCGGAAAUCUGCUGGUUUUGCUUGAUGAGCUGAUGAGAAGUUGCGAUUUGAAGCAUUGGCACAGAAUGCAAGCUACUAGCUUUUUAUGUGCUUCAUGUUCUCGAGGAUCUUGCUGUGCUGCAAGGUGGUGGUACGUGGAAACAAAGAUUCAUUGUCUUUCAGUUUUGUUUGGAAAAUCGUUUCGACAUGGUUUUUGUCCUAGUUGGAGAUGAUACCCUGGUUCCUCCUCUGUAGAUUUGGUAUGUCCUGAUAAAGAAGUUAGCUAAUUCACCCUAAUUCACCCUGUGAAGCACCGGAGUCAAGCCUUGUCAAUUUUGGCCCGCAAUAUCUUAUCUAGAAGUCUAGAUUAACGUCAGUAAUAAAUAAAAUACAUGUAGAUUUUGGAAGUAAUUUCCACAUUCUUACACUUAAAUAUUUACUUUUAUCAUACAUAUAAGAUAGUAAAACUAAUUGUGAAAUAUGCUCUAAAAAAGGAGCAAAAACACCAUGGUGCUACCAGCGAUAGCAAUGGUUUUGACACGAUAGUUUUUCUACUGACGUCACUGCUCUAUUGUGUUUUGGACACAAGAUCAAAACGAUUGAAUGAUCGAUCCCUUACACAGAAGAUUUAGCAUUAUUCAUUCCGCACGCUACUCUUUCUUUUUGUUUUUUUUGAAAACCAGGACUUAUUGUAACACACUACUCCCUCCGUUCCACAAUAUAAGACAUAGCUUGCAACAACGUCUUAUAUUAUGGGGCGGAGGGAGUACAUCCUAAAUGGUUAUGCGUUUGAUAGAUUCCGUGGCCUGAAAAUAAAAUAGAAUUCCAUUUGCCUAGUAUAUGCCGACAUAAAAACCAGUGCUCAUUUACUGCUUCACUAUGCCUUGCUCUGCUGCUAAAUCCGUGAAGAUGAAGAUAAUAGAUGGAAAGCAGAAAAUUUGUUCAUCUUUAUAUACUGGCAUUUUAGCUUAGUUACCGGUUAAUCUGUAGUUUAUUUUUUUAUAGCAUACAUAUUUAUGGAAAUACAACCCCCACCGCCCUUCUGCGAGCUUAAAUUUAGUCACUGCAUGCAUUUAGUGCAUCAUUUUAUUUAUAGGUUAAUGUUAUAGUCUCUAGAGGCUUCCUUGUCGGUAUGCAUAUAACGGCUAGAACAUGUGGUAAAGCAUAUUACUCCCUCCGACGGAGGGAGUAUAACUGUAGUUUAGUUAUAUAGGUGUACUCCUUGGUAUGGAAGCUUUGUUGCUUUAUUAGGUUUGCAUAUGCUCCAUUCAGUUAUAACAAAUGAAAUUGUCUGCUUGUGACCGCGAACACUUUUACUCACAUAAUAUACAAGUGCCAUCUAAUUUGUGAAUCACAUAACUUUUCUAACAUGAAUGUACUAGUAAUUAAUAUAACUAGAUCAGUGGCCUUGUGCAAUUCGGUGUUCAAAUCCAUGGUUGACUGCACCAAAUAUCGGUUUAAGCAUCUAAAGUUAAUUUGCCUGCAUGUUGUGGCAAAACCGUAUAGUGGAUUUGAAUGUGUAUGCUCUGGAUAAAAACAGAUUUAUUCUGGACGAUGGUGGGGGCAAAAUUGAUUUUUGCUGAAGAAAUUGUAUCAUAUAUAAUGUGUACUCCCUCCGUAAAUUGUAUCAUAUAAGAAAAGCAUAAUGCUGAGUCUUUGCGAUGCACCCCUCCGUUCACAAAUAUAAGUUUUUUUUGGGUACUUCAAUAUGGACUACAUACGGGCUGAAAUGAGUGAAUAAACACACUAAAAUGUGUCUAUACAUCCGAUUCACAAAAAGUUUGAAAUCUUAUAUUUUGUGAAUGGAGGUUGUAUAUUUUUAUAAAAGCAAAGAAAUAACUUGCAUAAGUGCACCCUGUGUUAGGAUUAACUUGAUUGCAAUCUUGAAAUACUGAAUGAUCGGCGAUGUAAUUCAUGUUUGCUUCAAAAAGAGGCAUCGAAGAUGAAUAACUCUGGAAUGCCACCUUUUCUCAUGUAUAUUCCCCUCAAGAAAAAAGUAGUAUGAAAAUACUGAUUGAUCUCUCUUCAUCUUUUCGAUGUUCAUUUGCAUCUUAUCAAAAAUAUGUGCAAGUCUUCAGAGGUCAAUUAAUGUUUGUAAUUGGCUACAUCCUGCCUCCUGCCUGACAUAUGCUGCUGGACAGGUGCAUUGACCCAAAAGUACAUUAAGCUGGAGACGUGGAGUUUUCACUUUCACAUAUGAAGGUACAUAAGACCAUGGAGGUUGCUAGGAUCUCUUUGUGAAUGAAUUACACUAUGAGCCAGUGCCCAUCAUAUUUGGUUUACUUUCUUGAAAUGCAGAUCGCCGCUCGACCCCUAACGAACUCUAUCCAGAACAAACAACGCUCUCAUCGAUCGGCAGAGAUAUGAGUCUGAUUUACUGUCAAAGAUGGGAAGGUUGCGAGACUUAAUGGUAUUAUUAUGCUAGUAUAGCUGUGCCAUCAGACAUCCAACAUUUUCUCUCUUAUGUAUUUUGGACACUUUGCAAUAGUCUAAACUAACUACUGCAGUUAUUCAAUUGAAAAAUUCAAGUUUCAAGUUUGAAAAAAUGAAGUCACAGUGAAAGGGCAGGGGUUGAUCCGGAACUGGAACGUUAUACGCGGUAUACUAUAGACACAAACGUUGCUAAAAAACUGGAAAUCAAAGGGAUAAAAUAUCCCCAGGCAUGCUCACGGGAUGGAAAAAAAAAUGCAGAGUAAACAGAUCACCCCACGAUUAUUGAAGUUGCCAUUGUAUCCAAAUCAAAGUUGCCACAUGAUAAUUUUGAUACUACAAUAUUUCGUAAAAAUCAGGACUUUCUUUAUCAAACCAUGAGACUUUAGUUUGGAUGAUCUUAUCGAAACAUUGUAUAAUAUGUCUGAGUAGCGGCUUGAGAGGGGACACGGAGUUUAUGCUCCCGGGAUCAUCUGCUCAGGAAAAAAUUUCAAAAUAAAUACUAGAAAAUUCGAAAAAAUUAAUUUUUUUUGUGGGGUAGAUAAUUUGAUGCGUGAGAUCCGCUCUAAAUUUCAACUCAUUUGGACAUCUGAGCAGCUCACGUAUUGUUUUAAUCUGAAUUGUCCUUUUUGUCGAGAGCUGAUCAGAUGUUCAAAUGAGUUGAAAUUUAGAGUGAACUUCACGCAUCGAAUUAUUUACCACACAAUUUUUUGAAUUUUUUAAUAUUUAUUUUCAAUUCUUUUCUGAGCGGGAGCAGAUGAGCCCCUUGAGAAGUACUAAAUCAUGCUCCCUUCGUUCUAAAAUAUUGUGUGCCGGCGUUUUCCGAGGUUAAAUUUUGACCAUAAAUUUAACCAACAAGACUGAUUGCGGUGGAGCAAAAAUUAUAUACUCUCCGUCCUAAAAUAUAAGAACGUUUUUAACACUAGCAUAGUGUCAAAAACGUUUUUAUAUUCUAAAACAGAGAAAGUAUAAUUGAAAACUUUCUUUGAAUAUGAAUUUAUUGGUAUAACUUUUGUUCGCGUCGCUCGUUGAUUAAAUUUAUGAUUAAAGUUGAAGCACGAGAGCCUCUAUAUUUUGAAACGGAGGGAGUAUCAAAGUUUUCGAAAUACUCGUACGUUAUUGUUUUUGUCACUCUAUAUACGUUGGGGCUAUAUUCCAGUCCCUAAAAGAUCACGUGCAAAACAACUUCUCUUGGUUCUCCUCGAAUUGUGACAUAGAAAUAGUCCACCAUCUAUUUGGGCGUAGCUGCCUCAACCUUUCCGUCCCGUUCUUGCCUAGCCAGUUCUCUCGUGCCUCCAUUGCGCGGCCGGGAGGGCGACGUCGCCAGCAGCGCUGCGAGCGACCUCGCUCGGCUCGGCCCGGCCCCGCCGACUGGAACGCACGGGAGACGUGACCAUGGGCACGAUGGGACACCACCAGCGGUCGCGCUCCGCCUCCGGGAGCCCCUCGGCGACGCGCUCAUCAAACGCCACCGAGCUUGACUUCGCCGCCGCCGACCUAGAGUGCCCCUUCGGCGGCAUCGGUGCCCUCGGCUCCGUGGAGCUCCGCGAGACGGCGUACGAGAUUUUCUUCAUGUCCUGCCGCUCCUCCGGUGGCGCUGCAGCGUCGAGCCCCGGGGCGCGGGGCGGCGGCGCGUCGGAGGGGGAGGUGUCGUCACCGGUGGCCGGCGCGGGGGCGAGGGGCGGGAGCGCCGUCAUGAGCAGCAAGGUGAAGAAGGCGCUGGGGCUCAAGCCGAGGCGGUCCGCGCCGACGAUGGUGCGUACCUCGAGCCAGAAUUCAGGCCCGGUCUCUCCCGGCAGAACACGGCGGCCGAUGACGUCGGCAGAGAUCAUGCGGCAACAGAUGCGGGUGACCGAGCAGAGCGACGCGCGGCUCCGUCGAACGCUCAUGCGCGCCGUCGUCGGACAGGUCCGGAUGCGCAUCCAUGCAUGCCGCAUCUGUUGGGAAGAAGCCUGAUUCCAUCCAUGCACGUGCCCCCUGGUCGGUCGUAGUAUUAUCUAUCCAUUUAUUAUUCCACAGGUUGGGAAGAAGCCUGAUUCCAUCGUUCUGCCAUUGGAGCUACUUCGGCAGCUGAAGCCGUCCGAGUUCACCGACGGCGAGGAGUACCACCAGUGGCAGUUCCGGCAAAUCAAGCUCCUAGAGGCAGGCCUCCUUCUGCACCCGUCCCUCCCGCUCGACCGCCUCCACGCCGCCGUGCUCCGUUUCCGCGAGGUGAUGCGCGCCACAGAGAUCCGCGCCAUCGACACGGGCAAGGGCUCCGACGCGAUGCGGGUCCUGACCAACGCCGUGCACGCGCUCGCGUGGCGCCCCGGCAGCGGCAGCGACGCGUGCCACUGGGCCGACGGCUACCCGCUCAACGUGCUCCUCUACGUCUCCCUCCUCCAGACCGUCUUCGACCACAGGGAGCCCACCGUGGUGCUAGACGAGGUGGACGAGCUGCUGGAGCUCAUCAAGAAGACUUGGCCGAUCCUGGGCGUCGGCCGGGCGGUGCACAACGUGUGCUUCGCCUGGGUCUUCUUCCAGCAGUACGUGGUGACCGAGCAGGCCGAGCCAGACCUCGCGUCCGCGACUCUCGCCCUGCUCGCCGACGUGGCGGCCGACGCCAAGCAGGGGAGCCGCGAGUCCCUGUCCCGUGACCCGGUGUACGCCAAGGUGCUCCUCAGCGCGCUCGGCAAGAUGCAGGAGUGGUCGGAGAAGCGGUUGCUGGACUACCACGAGAGGUACGAGAGAGGCACCGGCGGGACUGCCACGGAGGGCAUGGAGAUAUUGCUGUCCUUGGCGCUUGCCGCAGGCAAGAUCGUCGCCGACCGCGAAUACGCGGGCACCGGGAACUUCACCGCCGACCGCGUCGACUACUACAUCAGGUGUUCCAUGAAGAACAUCUUCACCAAAGUGAGCCCAUGCUUCAUCACAAAUCACAUAGGAGAAAAGCACAAACCAUUAGCGCUACCAUCAAGCUGUCGGACAUAAUUUGAUAUGAUCGCCGGACAUGAUAUGAUUCCAGAUACUCGAGAAUGGCAUGCGAGAGGCAGACCCUGCAAACGACCCCGGCGUGAUCCUGACGCGGCUGGCGAGGGAGACGGAGCAGCUGGCCAAGUUCGAGCGCGCCAACUUCAGCCCGCUGCUGAGGCGGUUGCACCCGGCCCCCAUAGCGGUCGCCGCAGUCACCCUGCACGGCUGCUUCGGCGUGGUGCUGAGAGAGUACCUGGGCAAGGUCACCAUCCUGACGGAGGAGCUCGUCCGCGUGCUCCACUCUGCGAAUCGCCUGGAGAAGGCCCUGGCACAGAUGACCGCCGAGGACGCGGCGGACUGCGAGGACGACCGGGCAAGGGCCGUCGUGGGCGACAUGGAGCCCUACGAGGUGGAGUCAGUGGUGAUGAGCUUGCUCAAAGCUUGGAUGGACGACAGGCUUCGGAUCAGCGCGGACUGCCUCCUCAGAGCCAAAGAAACCGAGGUAACACUUGGAUCUCUGGUCGAUGAAGUGAAGCUGGAAUUCGUAGAGCUUGACAUUGUUUUUGUAGAGCUGGAUUCCCAAGUCCAAGGAGGAGCCUUUCCCCGCGUCGGCAAUAGAGUUGAUGAGGCUGUCCAGGGCCACCAUCGACGAGUUCUCUGACAUUCCGGCGACGGCAAAAGACGACGUGGUUCAGGCGCUCGUCGACGGCCUCGACUCAAUCUUUCAAGACUACAUCUCCUUCGUGGCAUCAUGUGGUAAACGACCCGAUCAAACUCAAUCCCGUUAAAUAAACUUAGCAUGCCAUGCCAUCAUCGUUCGACAGACUUGUUUGAAUCCAAAUGCAGGGUCGAAGCAGAACUACGUCCCUCCCCUCCCGGCGCUGACGAGGUGCAACCAGGACUCGGGCUUCUUCCGGCUGUGGAAGAAGGCGGUGCUGCCGUCGUGCCAAGCGCCGGAGGCCAACCCGCGCGGCGGCGCCUCUCAGCACAACCCGCGGCCAUCCAUAAGCCGCGGCACGCAGCGCCUCUACGUCCGCCUCAACACGCUCCACUACGUCCUCACCCACGUCCAGGCCAUCGAGGAGCCGCUCUCGUCACUCUCCUCUGCCUCCGGCGGUAACCGGGUGGCAACUUCCCUCAACUUCGACCGCACCCGCGCCGCGGCCCAGUCGGCGGUGUCCCACGUCGCCGAGGUGGCCGCAUCCCGGCUUAUCUUCCUCGACUCGCGCCACGCCUUCUACCAGGGCCUGUACAUCCGCAACGUCGUCGACACACGCAUCCGGCCGGUGCUCCGCGCGCUGAAGCAGAACCUGUCGUUCCUCGUGUCCGUGCUCGUUGACCACGCGCAGCCGGUGGCCGUGCGGGAGGUGAUGAAGGCCUCGUUCCAGGCGUUCCUGAUGGUCCUCCUCGCCGGCGGCAACGACCGGAGUUUCACGAGGGCGGACCACGGGAUGGUGGAGGAGGACUUCCGGAGCCUGAAGCGCGCCUUCUGCACGUGCGGCGAGGGCCUGGUCCCCGAGGACGUGGUGGUGCAGGAGGCGGAGGCCGUAGAGGGCGUCGUUGAGCUCAUGGCUCGGUCGACGGAGCACCUCAUCACGGCGUUCGGCGCCGCCACGUCGGAGUCCAUCGCGGGCGUGCGAGAAUACGAGGACAGCGAUGGGGGCACGACCCACGUACCGCCGACGAGGCAGUGGGGCCCUGCGGACCCAAACACCAUCCUCCGCGUGUUGUGCCACCGCGACGACGAGGCCGCCAACCAGUUCUUGAAGCGCACGUUCCAGCUCGCCAAGCGGCGGUGAUGUCGGCCAAAUGCCCCACGACUGAGUCUAGGUGCUACUACACUUUUUAGUCCCAUCACUGCAACAAUCGUUGCGGCUACGUGGGCUGUAUCUGUGCCGGCCCAAGUGAGCGGCCCAUGUAAUGCGUUCAGGUGUGAGUGUGCCUUGUUAAAAUAGCCGUUGCUAAGCGUCAGGGUUGAGGAUCCAUGUACUGCCAAGUGCGAACUUCCCUCAAAAAAUAAAAUAAAAUUGUACUGUCAACUUCACACCUCUCUAAUCAUCUUCCGCCACAAGUCACUCUAUCCUUGUGUUCUAUGAACCAAGACCUAGCUUGAAGCUGGAGAGUGCACCUGGUCGGUAGGUAUCUACAACCAGUGACAUAGCCAUGAAAAUCGAAUGAGGGGGGCUAAGUGUUGCUAAGCCUUGUUGGGGAGGGCCAAUCCAGCAGAAUACAUAAUUUUAGCAGCAAAAUGUUACUGUUCAUAUUAAUACUAGGCUUAAAUCAAUAAUGUUAGGGGGGCCAGGCCCCUGCUGGCACCCCUGCCUUUGCCAAUGUCUGCAACAUUGUGCCAGAUCCACUGGUUUCUUCCCAUAUUUUUUUUCGGUUCGUUGAUUCCUUAUAUGGUUCCAUAAAUUCCUGGCAAAUGGCGUGGAUCCUUCAGGAAUCCAUGCAAAACGCAACCAUGUACCUCCGCUAGGUAGGAGUGAAUUUCAAGUGAAUCAACGGCGAAAUCCGGCAAGCCCACGCUCCCGACGCACAUGACGGCGGCGGAAUUGACUUGGCAAAGCUACAACAGCUGGUUGCGGGCAUCAUCAUACGGGAUCAACCGAAAACAAUUUUGUGAGCAUCUAGGAUCUUCUACACAUCUUCGGGCACUGGAACAACAUUGUCAACCAGAGGAGAAAUAUAACAAAGCUGGAUGUCAUGAUCAACUGAUGCAGUACGUAAGAAUCCAUGUAGUUUUUUGCCAGACAAGGCAUUACAAGAAGAGCAAUUUUAACAUGGUCCCUCUUACCUCCUCUUUUCACAUGGGAGAUACGAAGGUAAGAGUUACUCAGACCCGCCCUUCAUUGGCUAGAUUGUGUCUUGCAUCUUAGGGGCUCCCUUCAUGCCCGCGAGCUUAGCCCAUGAGCUUCUUCAAGUUGGUGGAGGUGUGGUGAUGUUGCGGCUCCCUUUGCAUGCUUGGCCAUGGUAAGGAGGGUAAACUUUGCCGUGACGUUGACGUGAUAGAGUCAUAAAGGCGUCACAACCUCGUGUGCGAGGCCUGUCCAAAGCACGAAGGACGAACUUUGCCAUGACUUCGAAGGACCAAUGUGGUUUUGAGUUGGUGGAGGUGAGCGAUGUCACAUCAUCGGGGAUUUACGCGACUCCGAAUAGAGUAAGCCCAAGGAGGCGUAUCUCUUUGCGAAGAUGCGCGGGGUCGCAGUAUCGAGGGUCCUCUUGACUUUGAGGGGAGCGUCUUCAAGGAUUCACGGCAACUCCAAUCUUGGUGAAGAUGAGCGACGUAGCAACGUUGAGGAUCCGCAGUGACUCUAUGCUUGUUGAAGACAAGCAGGGUCGCGACAUUGAGGAUGCACGCGACUCCGAGCGGAGUGGCGUCGAGGACCAUCGGCGACUCUGAGGGUAGCGGCUUCAUGAUCUGAAGUGGCUUCGAGCUUGGUGAAGAUGUGUGCGCUCGCGGCAUGGAGGAUCUAUGCGAGUCCAAGGGGAGAAAAUUCAAGGAUCCACGACGACUUCGAGGUGCCUUCGAGGAGUCUUCACCUUCUAGCAUCGACCCGCCUUACCUGUAGUUACCUUCGGAUUUUGUUGGAACUUGACUUGAUUUAGGCUGGGCCAUCUAGCUUCAUUGGUUGAUGACCUUUCACAUGGCGAGGAUUCCCCAUGGUUGGUGCGAGUGUUGAUGUUCAAGGAUCAACUAUUGAUAGGGGUAGCCAUAACUAUAUGGUCAGUGAUUAGUACGCGGGGGUUUGUACAAUGACCUUAUAUUGAAGGUCGUCGUACACUCGACAAGGUGACACAAAGAUUUUUUUUGAAUAGGUUCAUUUGCCUAGUCGGAACGCGACCUACAUCCUAUGAGGAAAAUCGUCAACAGUGGUGCUCAAGGCACGAAGAACUUGGAGUGUUGUAAAUUUCGAAGUCCCACGACUCUUGGCUGGUCCGAGCCUUACUAGGCCCCUCGGAUUCUGAUUCCCAAGCUUCGGUUGAGCCUUGUUGCAGGGACAAGGAGAGUGACUCCUGCUCUUGAGUUUAUUCAAGUGGGAGUAAAUGAUUUAGAUGCCAAUGGGGGAGGCUUAUAUAGCCGGGUCCUUAACAAAUGAUCAAGGCUACCCUUCAGACAAGGAGGUGGGAGAGUAGGACUAGGUGAUUUUUCAUCCUUCUGCCCAUAUGCCUCUAGUUGGGCUAGGAGGCGGGUUGUAGCACAGUAAUGGAUGAAUGCCUACACUAUUUGAAGGCUUCCUUGUUGGGGCUUCGACUUCUUUGCUCCUUUGCCUCCAUAUUUCACUUAUUCUUUUAAGUGGUCUUCUUUCUUUGACUUGUUGACCAUGAAGGUUUGCUUGGACUUUUGUUGACUGAAGUGGCUUGCUUGGAAUCAUAGGGGCUUUCUUGGACCAUUGUUGACCUCCUUGAAUUGUGUUACGUGGCCUUUACUUUGCUGAUCACCUAUGUGGCAUGCCACAUAGGAUAGGGGGUGGGACCUAAAGUAGAGUGAGUUGAAGAAAACCACCACAUUGAAGCCUAGGUUUGUAGAAAACAUCAUUCUAUAAAUUUCUACUCGAAAGCACUAAUUUUGGGCUUAAUCUGUUACAGAAAACACUGACUUAUUGCUACUUGUGAGCUGCAUUGGGAUUUCCUCAAACAGGAGAGGAUGAUGCAGUACAAUAGAGAUAAGUAUUUCCCUCAUUUAAGAACCAAGUUCAUCAAUCCAGUAGGAGAACCACACAAGACCUCGUGAACAACACCUACACACAAAAUAACAAAUACUUGCACCCAACGCAAACAAGGGGUAGUCAAUCCCUUGGCGGUUAAUUGCAAGGAUCAAAUCUCGUAGUGAUGAUGCAACAAGAUUGAUGUAGAGGCCCUCCGUGAUCGAUUCCCCCUCCGGCAGAGUGCCGAAAAAGGUCUCCAGAUGGAUCUCCGAAGAACAGAAACUUGCGGCGGGGAAAAAGUAUUUCGGGUGGCUCUCUGAUGUAUUGGGAAUAUACAGAGCUAGAAUUAGGUCAAGAGGUGCCAUGAGGGGCCCACAAGCCUGGGGGCGCGCCUGGCAGGCUUGUCGCUCCCUCGUGACUCUUCAGGUCUUCUAGGGUCCCUUCUGAUAAAAAAAAUCGUCAAAAAGUUUCGUAGCGUUUGGACUCCGUUUUUUACUAAUUUUCUGAAAAGCCAAAAACAAACAAAAAAUAGCAACUGGCACUGGGCACUAGGUUAAUAGGUUAGUACCAAAAAAUGAUAUAUAAUUGCAUAACAAACAUCCAAGAUUGAUACUAUAAUAGCAUGGAACAAUAAAAAAAGACGUACCAACAUCCCCAAGCUUAAUUCCCGCUCUUCCUCGAGUAGGUAAAUGAUAAAAACAGAUUUUUUGAUGUAGAAUGCUACCUAACAUGUUUAUCAUGUAAUCUCUUUUGUGGUAUGAAUAUUUACACCCGAAUGAUUCAAAGCAAUAGUCUAUAAUUUGACAUAAAGACAUCAAUACUCAGGUGUAGGAUCAAAAGUAGGUCUGGGGGGGGGGGUGAUUAGACUACUUGACCAAAUAAAAAUCUAGCCUUUUCCCAAUUUUAAGUCUUGGCAGAUUUUAGCAACUUAGCACAAGUCAAGCAAUCAACCUACACAUGCAACUCUAAGAGUGUAGCAGCGGAAAGUAAAACAUUGCAUAUCAAGGUAAAGGGAAGGGUUUGGAGAAGGCAAACGUAAUGUAGACACGGAGAUUUUUGGCGUGGUUCCGAUAGGUGGUGCUAUCGUACGUCCACGUUGAUGGAGACUUCAACCCACGAAGGGUAAUGGUUACGCGAGUCCAUGGAGGGCUCCACCCACAAAGGGUCCAUGAAUAAGCAACCUUGUCUAUCUUACCAUGGCCAUCGCCCAUGAAAGACUUGCCUCAUUCGGGUAGAUCUUCACGAAGUAGGCGAUCUCCUUGCCCUUACAAACUCCUUGGUUCAACUCCACAAUCUUGUCGGAGGCUCCCAAGUGACACCUAACCAAUCUAGGAGACACCACUCUCCAAAAGGUAAUAGAUGGUGUAUUGAUGAUGAACUCCUUACUCUUGUGCUUCAAAUGAUAGUCUCCCCAAGACUCAAUUCUCUCUCACAGAUUUGGCUGUUAUUUGAGUGGAAAGCAACUUGGGGAAGGCUAGAGAUCAAGAUUCUUGUGGUUGGAUUGGAAUGUCUUGGUCUCAACACAUGAGUAGGUGGUUCUCUCUUAGAAAAUGAGUAGUGGAAGUGUAGGCACGUUUUGAUGGCUCUCUCUUGAAUAGAGAAGGGGGUGGAGGGGUAUAUAUAGCCUCCACACAAAAUCCAACCGUUACACACAUUUGACCCAACUCGGUCAGACCGAAUAAGAGAACUCAGUGAGACCGAUUCAGUUCAAAAUGUGAACGUUAGGAAUCUCAGUGGGACCGAUAUGAUCAACUCGGUGGGACCGAUGUGCUAGGGUUAAGGCAAAACCUCAUCUCGGUGUGACCGAUUGCAUGAACUCGAUGAGACCGAUUUCAGCAAUGAUUUAACAAGGAAUUGGUCAGGCAAACUCGGUGGGACCGAACGCUCAUUUCGAUAAGACCGAAACGUUACAAAGGGAACAGAGAGUUUGCAUUGCGAACUCGGUGGGAUCGAUCGCUCACUUUGGUAAGACCAAAACGUUAUGAAGGGAAACAGAGAGUUUGCAAUGCCAUCUCGGUGAGACCGAGAUACCUAUCUGUGAGACCGAAUUAUCUAGGGUUUCUGGCUGUGGCUAUGUCAAAUGAACUCGGUGGCGCCGGAUAGAUCAAAUCGGUGGGGCCGAGUUUGACUUAAGGUUUUGGACAUAUUUGGAAGUGAGAAAGUGGUUGAGGGCUUUUGAGAAUAUCACUAAGCAUUUUGAGCAACACCUCAUCCCCUUUUAAUAGUGUUGGCUUUUCCUAUGGACUGAAUGUGAUCUUGGAUCACUGAAAUAGAAAUGAAGAGUCUUGAGCUUUAGCCAAUCUUUGUCCUUAGCAUUUUGAGGGGUCCACAUCUCUAGUCCAUGCCAUGCCAAUCAUUGAACUUUCUAAAAUAUUUAAAUUGAAUGGAUAUUAGUUCAAUGAGCUAUAUGUUGCUAUGAAUUACCAAAACCAACUGGGGAUUAGUUGCACUUUCAAUCUCCCCCUUUUUGGUAAUUGAUGACAACAUAUAGAUCAAAGCUUCGAAAAAUGAUAAUAUGAAUGAAAUACAUCGUCGCUUUGAGAAGUAUGUGCGAAGCAAGAGCUCCCCCUAAAUUUGUGCAUUAUUUAGAAUUUGCUUUUGAAUGCAAAUGCACAAUCGAUUAGGAUCAUGGGUUUCUCUUCCAUGUCACAUACAUCUUGGUGGAUGAUACGUCUCCAAUGUAUCUAUAAUUUUUGAUUGUUCCAUGCUAUUAUAUUAUCUGUUUUAUGUUUAAUGGGCUUUAUUAUACACUUUUAUAUUAUUUUUGGGACUAACCUACUAACCCAAGGCCAGUGCAAAUUGCUGUUUUUUGCCUAUUUCAGUGUUUCGCAGAAAAGGAAUAUCAAACGAAAUCCAAACGGAAUGAAACCUUCGGGAGAGUGAUUUUUGGAACAAACGUGAUCAGAGGACUUGGAGUGGAUGUCAAGAAAGAAACAAGGAGGCCACGAGGCAGGGAGGCGCGCCUGCCCCCCUGGGCGCGCCCCCACCCUCGUGGGCCCCUCGUGGCUCCCCUGACCGACUUCCUUCGCCUAUAUAUACUCAUAUACCCCGAAAACAUCCAGGAGCACCACGAAACCCUAUUUCCACCGCCGCAACUCUCUGUACCCGUGGGAUCCCAUCUUGGGGCCUUUUCCGGCGCUCCACCGGAGGGGGAAUCGAUCACGGAGGGCUUCUACAUCAACACCAUAGCCUCUCCGAUGAUGUGUGAGUAGUUUACCUUAGACCUUCGGGUCCAUAGUUAUUAGCUAGAUAGCUUCUUCUCUCUCUUUGGAUCUUAAUACAAAGUUCUCCUCGAUCUUCUUGGAGAUCUAUUCGAUGUAACUCUUUUUGCGGUGUGUUUGUCGAGAUCUGAUGAAUUAUGGGUUUAUGAUCAAGAUUAUCUAUGAACAAUAUUUGAAUCUCCUCUGAAUUCUUUUAUGUAUGAUUUGAUAUCUUUGCAAGUCUCUUCGAAUUAUCAGUUUGGUUUGGCCUACUAGAUUGAUCUUUCUUGCAAUGGGAGAAGUGCUUAGCUUUGGGUUCAAUCAUGCGCUGCUCGAUCCCAGUGAUAGAAGGGGAAACGACACAUAUUGUAUUGUUGCCAUCGAGGAUAAAAAGAUGGGGUUUAUAUCAUAUUGCUUGAGUUUAUCCCUCUACAUCAUGUCAUCUUGCCUAAUGCAUUACUCUGUUCUUAUGAACUUAAUACUCUAGAUGCAUGCUGGAUAGCGGUCGAUGUGUGGAGUAAUAGUAGUAGAUGCAGAAUCAUUUCGGUCUACUUGUCGCGGACGUGAUGCCUAUAUACAUGAUCAUGCCUAGAUAUUCUCAUAACUAUGCACUAUUAUAUCAAUUGCUCGACAGUAAUUUGUUCACCCACCGUAGUACUUAUGCUAUCUUGAGAGAAGCCACUAGUGAAACUAUGGCCCCCGGGUCUAUUCUCCAUCAUAUAAGUUUUCAAUCUAUUUUACUUUGCAAUCUUUACUUUCAAUCUUUAUCAUAAAAAUACCAAAAAUAUUAUCUUAUUAUCUCUAUCUGAUCUCACUUUUGCAAGUGGCCGUGAAGGGAUUGACAACCCCUUUAUCGCGUUGGUUACAAGGUUCUUAUUUGUUUGUGUAGGUACAAGGGACUUGCGUGUGGUCUCCUACAGGAUUGAUACCGGGGAGUCUACGCACAAGUCAAGACAUACCAAGUACCCAUCACAAACUCUUAUCCCUCGCAUUACAUUAUUUGCCAUUUGCCUCUCGUUUUCCUCUCCCCCACUUCACCCUUGCCGUUUUAUUUGCCCUCUUUUUCUGUUUGCCUCUGUUUGCUUGCUUCUUGUGUGCCUGUUUGCCCUGAUGGCCUUGCCUAAAAGCGUUGAUCCUCACCUUAGAAGGUUGGAAGAAAUUGAAAACAACGUUAGAAGCUUUAUGACUUUGCAAUUUGAGCAUAAUAAUUUCUUUAGAAACGAGCUUAAAGAACAAAAAAGCUUUAUGGAAUACAUGAAUAAAGAGCUUGAUGAUUUGUCUAGGGAAUUUUAUGGUUUGAAAUCUCAGUUUGCUCAUCUUGAAAAAUUAAUAGCCCAAAUUUCGGAUAAGCAGGCCACCUUAGUUAAUAAGAUGGCUACCAAACCGGAAGAUCUAGAAGGUAAUAAAGAUGAAGAUCUAAAAGUGAUUGAUGCGUCUCCUAUUAAAUCUUUGUUUUGCAAUAUGAAUCUUGAUAAUGAUGGGACUGGAGAUGAGUCAACUUUAGUUAAAAGGCGUCCCAAUGAUUCGGAGUUUUUAGAUCUUGAUGUAAAAAUUGGUAAAAGUGGGAUUGAAGAGGUCAAAACUUUAGAUAGCAAUGAACCCACUAUUUUGGAUUUAAAGGAAUUUAAUUAUGAUAAUUUUUCUUUAAUAUAUUGUAUUUCCUUGUUGCAAUCCGUGUUAAAUUCUCCUCAUGCUUAUAGUCAAAAUAAAGCUUUUACUAAACAUAUCGUUGAUGCUUUAAUGCAAUCUUAUGAAGAAAAGCUUGAAUUAGAAGUUUCUAUCCCUAGAAAACUUCAUGAUGAGUGGGAACUACUAUUAAAAUUAAAAUUAAAGAUCAUGAAUGCUAUGCUUUGUGUGAUUUGGGUGCUAGUGUUUCCACGAUUCCAAAAACUUUGUGUGAUGUGUUAGGUUUCCGUGAAUUUGAUGAUUGUUCCUUAAACUUGCAUCUUGCGGAUUCCACCAUAAAUAAACCUAUGGGAAGGAUUAAUGAUGUUCUUAUUGUUGCAAAUAGGAAUUAUGUGCCCGUAGAUUUCAUUGUUCUUGAUAUAGAUUGCAAUCCUUCAUGUCCUAUUAUUCUUGGUAGACCUUUUCUUAGAACGAUUGGUGCAAUUAUUGAUAUGAAAGAAGGAAAUAUUAGAUUCCAAUUUCCGUCAAGGAAAGGCAUGGAACACUUUCCUAGAAAGAAAAUUAAAUUACCUUAUGAAUCUAUUAUGUGAGCCACUUAUGGAUUUCAUACCAAAGAUGAUAAUACCUAGAUCUAUCCUUGCUUUUAUGCCUAGCUAGGGGCGUUAAACGAUAGCGCUUGUUGGGAGGCAACCCAAUUUUAUUUUUGUUCCUUGCUUUUUAUUCCUGUUUAGUAAUAAAUAUUUUAUCUAGCCUCUGGUUAGAUGUGGUUUUAUGUUUAAAUUAGUUUUUGUGCCAAGUAAAACCUAUAGGAUAUUCUUGGAUGAUAGUUAUUUGAUCUUGCUGAAAAAGUCAGAAACUUUCUGCUCACGAAAACAAUUGUUAAAAAUAACCAGAAAGUGAUAAAAUACUGAUUCCAAUUGCAGUAGAUAAAUAAUCAAAUUAUUUAGGUAUUCCUAUUUUUUUAGAUUUUUCUGAGUUACAUAUGUUUGCGUUAGAUACGGAUUACUACAGACUGUUCUGUUUUUGACAGAUUCUGUUUUUCGUGUGUUGUUUGCUUAUUUUGAUGAAUCUAUGGCUAGUAUCGGAGGUUAUGAACCAUACAGAAGUUGGAAUGCAGUGGGUUUAACACCAAUAUAAAUAAAGAAUGAGUUCAUUACAGUACCUUAAAGUGGUGGUUUGUUUUAUUUCGCUAACGGAGCUCAUGAGAUUUUCUGUUGAGUUUUGUGUUGUGAAGUUUUCAAGUUUUUGGGUAAAGAUUUGAUGGAUUAUGGAACAAGGAGUGGAAAGAGCCUAAGCUUGGGGAUGCCCAAGGCACCCCAAGGUAAAACUCAAGGACAACCAAAAUCCUAAUCUUGGGGAUGCCCCGGAAGGCAUCCCCUCUUUCGUCUUCGUCCAUCGGUAACUUCACUUGAUGCUAUAUUUUUAUUCACCACAUGAUAUGUGUUUUGCUUGGAGCGUCUUGUAUGAUUUGAGUCUUUGCUUUUUAGUUUACCACAAUCAUCCUUUCUGUACACACCUUUUGGGAGAGACACACAUGAUUCUGAAUUUAUUAGAAUACUCUAUGUGCUUCAUUUAUAUCUUUUGAGCUAGAUAGUUUUGCUCUAGUGCUUCACUUAUAUCUCUUAGAGCACGGUGGUGGUUUUAUUUUAUAGAAAUUAUUGAUCUCUCAUGCUUCACUUAUAUUAUUUUGAGAGUUCUUUAGAACAGCAUGGUAAUUUGCUUUGACUAUAAAAUUAGUCCUAAUAUAAUAGGCAUCCAAGAUUGGUAUAAUAAAAACUUUCAUGUAGAGUGCAUUGAAUACUAAGAGAAGUUUGAUACUUGAUGAUUGUUUUGAGAUAUGGAGAUAGUGAUAUUAAAGUUGUGCUAGUUGAGUAGUUGCGAAUUUGAGAAAUACUUGUGUUGAAGUUUGCAAGUCCCGUAGCAUGCACGUAUGGUAACUGUUGUGUAACAAAUUUGAAACAUGAGGUGUUCUUUGAUUGUCAUCCUUAUGAGUGGCGGUCGGGGACGAGCGAUGGUCUUUUCCUACCAAUCUAUCCCCCUAGGAGCAUGCGCGUAGUGCUUGGUUUUUGAUGACUUGUAGAUUUUUGCAAUAAGUAUGUGAGUUCUUUAUGACUAAUGUUGAGUCCAUGGAUUAUACACACUCUCACCUUUCCAUCAUUUCUAGCCUCUUCGGUACCGUGCAUUGCCCAUUCUCACCUUGAGAGUUGGUGCAAACUUCGUCGGUGCAUCCAAACCCCGUGAUAUGAUACACUCUUUCACACAUAAACCUCCUUAUAUCUUCCUCAAAACAGCCACCAUACCUACCUAUUAUGGCAUUUCCAUAGCCAUUCCGAGAUAUAUUGCCAUGCAACUUUCCACCGUUCCGUUUAUUAUGACACGCUUCAUCAUUGUCAUAUUGCCUUGCAUGAUCAUGUAGUUGACAUCGUAUUUGUGGCAAAGCCACCAUGCAUAAUUUAUCAUACAUGUCACUCUUGAUUCAUUGCUCAGCCUGGUACACCGCCGGAGGCAUUCAUAUAGAGUCAUAUUUUGUUCUAGUAUCGAGUUGUAAUCAUUGAGUUGUAAAUAAAUAGAAGUGUGAUGAUCAUCAUUAAUAGAGCAUUGUCUCAAAUGAAAAAGAAGAAGAAAGGCCAAAUAAAAAAAAGAAAGGCCCAAAAAAGGAAAUAAAAAGGGACAGUGCUACUAUCCUUUUUCCACACUUGUGCUUCAAAGUAGCACCAUGAUCUUUAUGAUAGAGAGUCUCUUGUUUUGUCACUUUCAUAUGCUAGUGGGAAUUUUUCAUUAUAGAACUUGGCUUGUAUAUUCCAACAAUGGGCUUCCUCAAAUGCCCUAGGUCUUCGUGAGCAAGCAAGUUGGAUGCACACCCACUUAGUUUCUUUUGUUGAGCUUUCAUACAUUUAUAGCUCUAGUGCAUCCGUUGCAUGGCAAUCCCUACUCCUUGCAUUGACAUCAAUUGAUGGGCAUCUCCCUAGCCCGUUGAUUAGCCGCGUCGAUGUGAGACUUUCUCCUUUUUUGUCUUCUCCACAUAACCCCCAUCAUUAUACUCUAUUCCACCCAUAGUGCUAUAUCCAUGGCUCACGCUCAUGUAUUGCGUGAAGGUUGAAAAAGUUUGAGAUUACUAAAGUAUGAAACAAUUGCUUGGCUUGUCAUCGGGGUUGUGCAUGAUGAGAGCAUUCAUGUGUGACGAAAAUGGAGCAUGACCAAACUAUAUGAUUUUGUAGGGAUGAACUUUCUUUGGCCAUGUUAUUUUGAGAAGACAUAAUUGCUUAGUUAGUAUGCUUGAAGUAUUAUUAUUUUUAUGUCAAUAUUUAACUUUUAUCUUGAAUCUUUCGGAUCUGAACAUUCAUGCCACAAUAAAGAAAAUUACAUUGAAGAAUAUGCUAGGUAGCAUUCCACAUCAAAAAUUCUGUUUUUAUCAUUUACCUACUCGAGGACGAGCAGGAAUUAAGCUUGGGGAUGCUUGAUACGUCUCCAACGUAUCUAUAAUUUUUGAUUGUUCCAUGCUAUUAUAUUAUCUGUUUUGGAUGUUUAAUGAGCUUUAUUAUACAUUUUUAUAUUAUUUUUGGGACUAACCUACUAACCCAAGGCCAAGUGCAAAUUGUUGUUUUUUUUGCCUAUUUCAGUGUUUCGCAGAAAAGGAAUAUCAAACGGAAUCCAAACGGAAUGAAACCUUCGGGAGAGUGAUUUUUGGAACAAACGUGAUCCAGAGGACUUGGAGUGGACGUCAAGAAAGAAACAAGGAGGCCACGACGCAGGGAGGCGCGCCUUCCCCCUGGGCGCGCCCCCACCCUCGUGGGCCCCUCGUGGCUCCCCUGACCGACUUCCUUCGCCUAUAUAUACUCAUAUACCCCGAAAACAUCCAGGAGCACCACAAAACCCUAUUUCCACCGCCGCAACUCUCUGUACCCGUGAGAUCCCAUCUUGGGGCCUUUUCUGGUGUGCAUCAGCCGCUGGAAGGUCGCUCCGGCAUUGCGCAUCCCGAACGGCAUGCAGGUGUAGCAGUACACCCCGCACGGGGUUAGGAAAGUCGUCUUCUCGACAGCCUGCACCGCCAUCUUGGUUUGGUGAUAGCCAGAGAAGGCAUCCAGGAAGCACAGUAGAUCGCACUCGGCGGUGGAGUCGACGAUCUGGUCGAUGCGUGGGAGAGGGAAAGGGUCUUGCGGACAAGCCUUGUUGAGGUUGGUAAAAUCGAAUCACAUGCGCUCCUUCCCGCCCUUCUUGGGGACGAUAACCGGGUUUGCCAGCCAAUCUGGAUGCCGCACUUCCUGAAUGACGCCGGCUUCUUGCAGUUUGUGGGUCUCCUGGACGAUGAAAGACUGCUUCUCCGGGGUUGUCCACCGCGCCUUCUGUUUUACUGGGCGCGCAUUGGGGCACACCAUCAGGUGGUGCUCGAUUACCCCACGUGGAACCCCGACCAGGUCUGCCGCUUCCCACGCGAACACGUCCUUGUUCGCACGAAGGAAGCUGACCAGCGCCUCUUCCUGGUCUGGGGGGAGGCCGGCGCCUAUGGUGAAAGUAAGGCCCGAUCCCCAUCUUCGUCGACCGACACCUGCUUCGUCUCGGCCCGAUCUUGAGAAAACAACUGCUUCUUAUUUGUUGGCGCGGCCCCCGGGCCUCCGAAGCGCCCCCAGCGGCUGGCCGUGCGGCCGCCGCACUCCUGAAGGCGAGCUUGAGGGCCAUGAGCGCGUCCUUAGUAUCUGUCGCCACAGUGAGGACACCGCUACUUCCCGGCAUCUUCAUGAGGUUGUUGCCAGGAUGAUUCGCCGCCAUGAACUUGGCCAAGGCUGGAUAUCCGAGAAUGGCAUUGUACGGGAGGCUGAUGCGGGCGAUGUCGAAGUCGAUGAGCUCGGUGCGGUAGUUGUUGCAUGUGCCAAAGGUGACGGGGAGGCGGAUCUUCCCCAGAGGGCAGGUGGAGCCAUCAACGACCCCAGAGAAAGGCUUGGUGGGGAGGAGCUGACCGUAGGGCACAUGAAGCAGGCCGAACGUCUCCACAGAGAGGACGUUGAGGCCAGUGCCACCGUCGAUGAGGGUCCUGGUGACUGCUACGUUGCAGAUGGUGGGGGUGCAGAGCAUAGGGAGCGCGCUGGCGCUGAUCGUGGUCUCGGGGUGGUCCCUUGAGUCAACGGUGAGGCCAGCCUUUGGCGCCACCCAGCCCGGAGGGGCUCCCUGCUACGCGUGGGUGGCGCCCACCCGGCAAAACUACUUGACGUGAAGGUCCGAGGCCGGCGCUUGCGACCCGCCAAGGAUGGCCACGACGGUGUGGGGUGCCGGUGCUGCGAAGCACGCGAUGAAGAGACUACACAGCUCUUCCCAGGAGGCCACUGAAGACUCCGGCAAGCCAAGGAGCCAGGCGCACGGCACACCCAUAAGGGGCAUGGGAAGCCAAUUCGCCAUGACCUUGUCGACACCGCCGGCUGCCCAAACAGCCUCCGCAUACGCCUGGAGGAACCCCGCCAGAUCCGCCAUGCCAUCGUAUCGCGGCGACAACUCUGGCCUGAACUUUGGCGGCCAUUGCACCUGCCGCAAGGCGGGGGAGAAAGCCCGGUGGCCCGCAGUGCUUCCGAAUGCGCCCAGGGGCCCAGCUGAGGGAGUCCUGGAUUAAGGGGUCCUCGGAUGGCCGGGCUAUGUGACAUGGGCUGGACUGAUGGGCAGUGAAGAUACGAGAUGGAAGGCAUUCCCCCGUGUCUGGAUGGGACUCUCCUUUGCGUGGAUAGCAAGCUUGGCGGCCAGAUGUGUAGUUUCCUUUCUCUGUAAACUGACUUUGAACAACCCUAGCCCCCUCCGGUGUCUAUAUAAACCGGAGGGGUUAGUCCGCAGAGGCUAUCACAAAUCAUACAGGCUAGACAUCUAGGGUUUAGCCAUUACGAUCUCGAGGUAGUUCAACCCUUGAGGUCCGAACACUGGGGUGCACACAAAGAUCUCUCUCUCCCUAGCUCGCUCUCAGAACGAUCUCAAGGCCUAGCUCGCCGAACCCAAGGAACAAGAGAUACGAGAGUUUAUACUGGUUCGGGCCACCGUUGUGGUGUAAUACCCUACUCCAGUGUGGUGUGGUGGAUUUCCUUGUAGGCUGGGGAUGAACAAGUACAAGGGAUGAAAAGCCCCCUGAGGAGAGGUGUUCUUGAGCUCGGUGAGCUUGUGUGUGUGUGUGUGAGGAUGAUCUGAAUGAUCCCGGAUCAGUUGCCUCCUACGGUGGUGGCUAGUCCUAUUUAUAGAGGCCCUGGUCCUCUUCCCAAAUGUUAGGUGGGAAGGGAUCCCACAACGACCAGUUUUGAAGGAAGACAACUAGUACAAGCUAUCCUGUCAAAAGGUGGUCUUCGCCUACCAAAGGCUCUGGUGGAGACGCCGCCGCGGGCUCCGCGGUGACCUCCGUCCUGCCGUCCUGCUGAUCUUGGUCUCGUUGCACUGAUAUGGAAACCUUUGCCUGAUGCCUCGGGACUCCUCGCCUGCGGCUGCCCCUUUAGCACCAAAGAGGAAAUUGGUACUUUGCGCCCGCUGGCGCCCGCCUGGCUUCGGUCGUCAUGGCUCACGUCACGCGCACCUUGUGAGGUGCCCCUCGCCUUGAUAUCUCCGCUCCUCACGAGCCGGCCUAGCGAGGCUUCCCCUGAGGAGGUCUUGUGUCGUCCGCCUCACGAGGCUUGGCCCCUCGCGAGGGUCUUGAGUGGUUGCUGAUGAAGAUUGGUCGUGCCAGGCCACUGGUGGAGCCACGCCCCGGGCCGCACGCAGGCAAGUCUGGGUAUCCCCGUUCCCAGGACGCCGACAGUAGCCCCCGGGCCCAAGGCGCGCUCGGACUUGGCUUCGAGGCGAAGCCAAAGGGCAAGUGUGGAGCGCUGCGAGCCCCAACCGCCUGCGGCCCUGAUUGACACGUGGCGGUUGACGGGACGUGGGCGCCUCCGCUGCCCCACACUGCCGCGGCAAUUGCCCGACUUGACGAGUCCCUGCUGCAUGCAGAAGAAGAACCAUCAUUACAUGCAAUCGUGGAGGCCGGCGGUUGGCCUCCUUCUGGCUAUAAAUGAGGAGGGGGCGGAGCCCCCAUCGCUCAUCUCUUCCUACAUCCGCUUCUUCUUCUUCUUCCUUGCUACGACACUCAUGGCGCCGAUACGGAGAUCCUCCGCUGCUGAGAAGGGGAAAACCCCCCGCGAAGAGUUAGGGCCGCUCCCACCAAAGAAGAGGCUGGUCCACCCUCGCGACAUCGUCGUGAGGCCGGAGGUGAUGAGGCCUUGGCACGAGCGGCCUCCCCCCGGCUACCCGCCGCCCUUGUACACCCAGGCGCAAGGCUCCAGCGGGGGAGGCAACGACCCGCAUUGCUCGCGCCUUGGCCGCGGUGGGCACGCGGUGGCGGUGCACGCUGCCGCCCCGCGGACUCAUGCUGAGGGCUCCUCGCGUGAACUCGUGGUGUGGGUGGCGAUGCCAUCACGCUCGUGGAUCUGAUUCCCACAAUUCUUCGCUGAAGAGAUGCCGCCGAGGGGGCCACUCGAGCUGUGGCUGCAGCACGCCGAGUGCGACACCCCGGCGACGGGAGCAGAGGUUGAGGUCGUUUCCCCGGGCAAGAUCUUCAUGACCCGCGGAUGGGGUGAGGCCACCUGUGUCUGUCGUGCGGAGGGGUUCCUCUCCAUCCAUUUCGAGUAUGACGGCGCCUCGACACUGUUCUUCAAGGUCUUCGACGAGGAAGGCCGCCGCCUGGAAUGCUGCCCCGAAGGGGGUCGCCUGGACGGCGCGGCAGGCGUUGGCCCCGCCCUUGGUCCUGCCAGUAGUUCCUCCAGCAGCAGUGAUGGUGCCUGGGAGUCCAGCGACUCUCCCGAGCCCUACGAGAGUCCGGAGACGAGCGACGACAGCUACGUGCCCCCGAGCUCUCCCCGUGCCCGGAGCGCGGCAGCGGCGUCCGCCCAUCGCCGCCGUUGAUCUGGAUGGGGUUGGCGUCGGCCCCCCGUGGCCCACUGUUGAUGAUGGCGUCGGUGGUGAUGCCUGUAGAUACGACUCCUAGAAACCUUCUUCUUUUGUUCCCUGCGAGGAAUGGAGGUGAACCCCAUGGGGUGUGUAAAGGGUCUGUAGUGCCUUUUGUGUUAAUAUCAUCCUUAUUACGAAGAUUUACGAUCGCGUGUCUUGCUUCGGCUUGGUCCCCCCCUUUCCAACCUUGCAGUAGCUUAGUGCUCUACGCCGACAGGUCCCAGUCCCCAGGCAGGCUGCAGCCGUCGCUGGUAUGCCAGGUCACGAUGCCGUGGUCAAGGCCAGGAGGUGAGCCGCCCGAGGUCCGGUGAGAGCUCCUGAGGCGCGAUGCUCAAGAGGUCCCCUUUAGCGUGCAAGCAGCUACCUGAAGGCAAGAAAGGAAGGCGGUGUCGCCGUAGCAAGGCUGCAAGAGAUGGAAAUCCCGUGUCAUAGCGCUGGGCUGUCUUGAGUGCGAGACUUAUCUUAGCGACCCUGGGUCGGCUUCUGUGUGCAGCGUCUGAUUUCUACGUCAGCGGCUGUGAGACGAUUGGGUUAAGAUUGCACUGGCUUCCCUCCCUUUUUCAUGCUCUUCUAGGUGCACUGCGUCCUCGGGUCCCGACCCUCGAGCGAGCUCGGCCGCCGCUGGUAUGCCAGGUCGCGGUGCCGUGGUCAAGGCCAGGGGGUGAGGGCUGGAGAGUCAGUAGGAGCUCCUGAGACGCGAUGCUCAGGAGCCCCCCUUUAACGCGCAAGAGAAAUGCGUGAAAAAGAAGAAGGAGCCUGCGGCGCCGUCCAUGGUCUGCCUCCGGAGAUUCCUGCAGGUUAGCGCGAGGGAGGAGUACAGCCUGCAACCGCAUCUGCUGGUCUGCGCUGGUCGUUCCGCAAGAAGAUGAAGGCACUGAGGGCCUGGUGAGGUGACGUGCGCGGGGCGUGCCGCAAGCCAGAGCUCGACCGCUCAGGUUUGUUAGCGUUGUAGGGACGGACCCGAGCACAAGUGCCGUGCCAGCAUGUGUAGCCCCCAUUGCGGGGUGAGCAGAAGGCCGGCCAGCAACGCGGGUGGCCGCGAGGGGCAACAGGUAAGCAGGCGAUAAUCAUGAAAUGACUCAAGCAAUAAGGCAGGUUAGCUCAGAUGGAUGCAAGAACGAUACAUGCCACUGGGACGGACCCGAGCGGCCCGGGGAUGAUGCGACCCAAGAGGCGCUCCCAACAGAGUAAGCUAAAGAUGCAAAAGGAUACACGUCGCAGGGACAAGCCCACGCGGCUUGGGGAUAAUGCUGCCCGAAGGGUGCCCCCAACUGAAUGAACUGGAAAGAGUCACCUGAUACCGUAUCUGGAAUGAUGUUGGAGUAGCUAAAGAUGCGUGCUGGAGAAGCUGCUCCUCACGACCCGCUAGGGUCCUGAGCCUCAGGAGGCUCCGUAGGCCCAGCUGGCUCCCGAAGAACUGUCGCGAUCUCUACCAGGACGACGUGAUGCCUGGCCUCCUGAGCCGCCAAGAUGCUCCGUAAGUGGUGCUGGAAGGUGACAGCCGCGUUCGGCAUGCCAAAUGGCAUGCGAACAUAGCUGUGAGGUGGACCCUCACACCGUCCAAUGCGUGAAGGCUAGAAAUGUCCCUGAGACGCUGCCCUGUUGAGACCUGGAAUGUCAACGCAGACGCGCAGCCCGCCGUCCUCGCCAGGAUGGGGGGCUGCGCCGGGUGGUGGGCGGCGGUCGCCGCGUAUGGCCCUUGCCUCUUGAAGCUCCUGGGUCGCCUUGGUGAUGAACUGCUGAGCAUUGGGCGCUCCACGCCUUGUGCCCUCUUGAGGGAAACGUGUGGCGAAGCACGCCUCCACAUGGUGCCCGAGCGCCUCGCUCGUGACGUUGGCUAGAUCUGAGGCCCUCCAGAAGAGAGCCUCCUAGCCUAGCCUGAGGAGGGCGCCGGGCGCGCCUUUCUAUGCGAGGAAGAGAGGCGCCCCGGCUGCGGGCGCAAAUCCUGAUGUGGUGCCGCUGCUCUCCUAAGGCCCUGGGUGGAGUAGCUACUUCUUCUUCUUGGGGAUGGCCUCAGGAGGGUACAUGGUGCGUUCGUUGUCGGGGUCUUCGGCCGCUGCAGCUUAGUAAGCGCGCUCGAGGGAGCACACGGCGUCCCGUUCUUCACAGGGAACCGUGAUGAUGCCGCUGCUCCCUGGCAUCUUGAGGACGUUGUAGCCAUGAUGGGUUACAGCCAUAAACUUGGCCAAGGCUGGAUACCCAAGGAUGGCGUUGUACGGCAGGCGGAUGUGAGCGACGUUGAAGUCAAUGAGCUCGGUGCGGUAGUUGUCACGCUGGCCGAAGGUGACAGGGAGGCGGACCUGCCCUAUCGGGGUGGUGGAGCCGUCGGUCACUCCUAAGAAGGGCUUGGUAGGCUGUAGCUGAUCGUAUGGCACUUGGAGGCUGUCGAACGUCUCAACGGACAGGACAUUGAGCCCUGCGCCGCCGUCGAUGAGGUUCUUGGUGACUUGAACGUUGCUGAUGACGGGUGAGCAGAGCAUUGGGAGGGCGCCAGUCUGACGAGGUGAAGGUGAUGGCGCACUUGGACCACAUGAGCGGGCGCGUGGCUUCAAGCCUGGGAAGGGCCGCGUUCACCUCACGAGCAAACUGCUUGAAGAUACGCUGAGAGGCUGGGGCCUGGGCACCACCCAAGAUGCAGGCGAUGGCACGAGGUUCUUGGAAGCCCCCAGCCCCCUCGUCCUGGUGGUGGUGGCAGCGGAGGGAGGCCUGCGUUGCCCUGAGGACGGUCCUCACGAGGUUGGUCCUUCUAGGCACCCUCGCGAGGCGGGUCCUGCCAGCGGUCAUCGCGAGGCCGGUCGCGCCACUCCUGACGGGGCCCACGGUCGUCCCAGCGUCCUCCACUUCGUCCUCCUCCUCGGCCAUAGCCCCGGUCGCCGCACUCGGGGCGUCGACCAAAGCGCCCAUCGCGGAUGGCCCUGAGCUCCUGACAGUCAUUGGUGUUGUGGCUGUGUACGUUGUGGAAGGCGCAGAACGGACGGCUGUUCUUGGACGACUUGGGGUGGUCUCGGCCGCGCUUUGUCUCUGGCUCGGCCGCGAGCACGGCUACCCCCUUGCGCUUCACAUCUUUGGCCCUGGCCUUCUUGUCUUCCAUGUUGGCGGCUGGAAGUUCGAAGAGGGAGAGGUGCCCUUCCUCAGCUCUUGCGCACUUGGUCGCCAUAUUGAACAUCUCUAGGGCCGUGCAUAGUUCCUCAUGGAUGGCGAGCUCCUCCUUCAUCUUGACGUCGCGGACGCCAUCGGAGAACACGGAGAUGAUGGCCUCGUCCGUCACCUUGGGGAUCUUGAGGCGGACGCUAUUGAAUCGCUGAAUGUACUUUUGCAGAGUUUCCCCUGGCUGCUGCUUGAUGCGCCGCAGGUCACCCGCGGCCGGCGGGCGGUCGCGAGUGCCCUGGAAGUUGGCGAUGAAACGCUCGCGCAUCUCGCCCGAGGAGGAUAUUGAUCCCGCGAGCAAGUUCAGAAGCCAUGAGCGUGCGCCAUCUUUGAGGGCCAUGGGAAACCAAUUCGCCAUGACCUUCUCAUCGCCGUUGGCUGCCUCGAUGCUCAGCUCAUAGAGCUACAAGAACUCCAUGGGGUCGGCGGUGCUGUCGUAGUGCGGAGGCAGGUCCGACUUGAACUUGCCAGGCCAGACGACGCUGCACAGCUCGGGUGUGAAGGCACAUCAACCUGCUGUGGUCACGGGAGCCCGUCGCAGAGGCGGCGCCUGAUCUUGAUAUCCUCGCGCUGCCGCCGCAGGCAGCACGUGGUCUUGACGCGGUGGUGCUGGGAGCGCAGGAGCGUUUUCUUGCGGCCGAGGGACUUCUUGGCAGCUUCCUUCUUCGUGCGCGGGCGCCCGGCGUGGCAAGUCACGCCGCGAGACUGCGUGUCUCGGGGCGAGGCACCGUCUUGAUGCGGAGGUGGUGGAGGCGCUCCGUGAGCUACGUCACCCGCAGCUGGGGGUGGACGAGGCAGCGAGAGAGAUGGUGCAGGAGAGCCCCCAGCAGCGCUGACGAGCUCAGCGAUGCGGUCCAGCCAGUCCUCGUAGAGGUCGUCAACCAGGCGGUAACGCAGGAGCUCGCGUGUCAUGAGCAGCACGGCCUGCGCGUCCGUGGGCGUGCGACGAGCGUGGGAUGAGGAGCCGGCCGGAGUCAGCGACUGAUAAACUAAGAUUUUCGGCUAAACCAUUGCUAACUCUUCGAUAUAUUUCUUGCUGAAAGUAUCCCUGAUCCCGGGUGGCGGUGCGAUUGUCCCGCCUCACAGAGGGGUGCAGCAAUGAAGCUUGCUGCUCGUUCCCUGCCGGGCCGGUGGUGGCGUUGGCAGCGGGUGAUGGAGAACGGCGGGGAGGUCCGCCAACGGGUGCCGUUUGAGCGACACGAGCGGCAAGGGCGGCCCGGCGCUCAGCACGGGCUCGGCGAGCGUUAGCCAUGGUUGCGGCGGAACAGUGGAGCGUGGAUCGACGGAAGAAAGGCUUCGGCGCCCCCUACCUGGUGCGCCAAAUGUCGGAUUCUAGGUUCCGGCAAACCCUUGAUGUUCGAACACUGGGGUGCGCAUGAAGAUCUGUCUCUCCCUAGCUCGCUCUCACAACGAUCUCAAGUCCUAGCUCACUGAACCCAAGGAACAAGAGACACGAGAGUUUAUACUGGUUCGGGCCACUGUUGUGGUUUAAUACCCUACUCCAGUAUGGUGUGGUGGAUUGCCUUGUAGGCUGGGAUGAACAAGUACAAGGGAUGAACGGCCCCCUGAGGGGAGGUGUUCUUGAGCUCAGCGAGCUUGUGUGUAUGUGAGGAUGAUCUGAAUGAUCCCGGAUUAGUUGCCUCCUACGGUGGUGGCUAGUCCUAUUUAUAGAGGCCAUGGUCCUCUUCCCAAAUGUUAGGUGGGAAGGGAUCCCACAACGGCCAAUUUUGAAGGGAGACAACUAGUACAAGCUAUCCUGUCAAAAGGUGGUCUUCGCCUGCCAAAGGCUCUGGUGGUGACGCCGUCGUGGGCUCCGUGGUGACCUCCAUCCUGCCGUCCUGCUGGUCUUGGUCUCGUUGCACCGAUAUGGAAACCUUUGCCUGAUGCCUCGGGACUCCUCGCCUGCGCCUACCCCUUUAGCACCAAAGAGGAAACUUGUACUCUGCGCCCGCUGGUGCCCGCCUGGCUUCGGUCAUCAUGGCUCAUGUCACGCGCACCUCGCGAGGUGCCCCUCGCCUUGAUAUCUCUGCUUCCUCACGAGCCGGCCUAGCGAGGCUUCCCCUGAGGAGGUCUUGUGUCAUCCGCCUCGCGAGGCUUGUCCCCUCACGAGGGUCUUGAGUGGUUGCUGAUGAAGAUGGGCCGUGCCAGGCCGCUGGUGGAGCCACGCCCUGGGCUGUAGGCAGGCAAGUCUGGGUACCCCCAUUCCCAGGACGCCGACAAGCUCCUACACACAAAGAACAAAUACUUGCAACCCGACAUAAGAGAGGGGUUGUCAAUCCCUCCCGGGUAAAAAGAUAGGUAAAAUUGUAGUAGAUUGGAUAAAUAGAUCUCGCGGGAACGCGAGACAAAAUAAAUAAUAAUAAGUUGCAGCAAGGUAUUUUUGUAUUUUUGGACUAAUAGAUCUGAAAAUAAAAUCAAAUAAGAAUAGAUCACAAAGGCAAAUAUAAUAAAGAAGAGACCCGGGGCCCGUAGAUUUCACUAGUGGCUUCUCUCGAGAAAAAUAGUAUACGGCGGGUAAAAAAAUUACUGUUGGGCAAUUGAUAGAACUUCAAAUAAUCAUGACGAUAUCUAGGCAAUGAUCAUUACAUAGGCAUCACGUCCAAGAUUAGUAGACCGACUCCUGCCUGCAUCUACUACUAUUACUCCACACAUCGAGCGCUAUCCAGCAUGCAUCUAGUGUAUUAAGUUCAUGGAGAAACGGAGUAAUGUAAUAAGAACGAUGACAUGGUGUAGACAAGAUCUAUUUAUGUAGAAAUAGACCCCAUCUUGUUAUCCUUAAUAGCAACGAUACAUACGUGUUGGUUCCCCUUCUGUCACUGGGAUCAAGCAACGUAAGAUCGAGCCCAUCACAAAGCACAUCUAUCCAUGGCAAGAAAAAUCGAUCUAGUUGGCCUAACUAAACCAAAGAUUCGAAGAAGAAAUACGAGGCUAUAAGUAAUCAUGCAUAUAAGAGAUCAAAAGACUCGAAUAACUUUCAUGGAUAAAAACAUAGAUCUGAUCAUAAACUCAAAGUUCAUCAAAUCCCAACAAACACACCGCAAAAAGAGUUACAUCAAAUAGAUCUCCAAUAGACCAUUGUAUUGAGAAUCAAAAGAGAGAGAUGAAGCCAUCUGUCUACUAACUACGGACCCGUAGGUCUACAAUGAACUGCUCACACAUCAUCGGAGAGGCACCAAUGAGGAUGAUGAACCCCUCCGUGAUGGUGUGUAGAUUGGAUCUGAUGGUUCUGGAACUUGCGGUGGCUGGAAUUGAUUUUCGUUGACUCCCGUAGGAUUUCUGGAAUAUUUGGGUAUUUAUAGAGCAAAGAGGCAGUGCGGGUUGCCACUGAGGUGGGCACAACCCACUUGGGCGCGCCUGGGCCCCCAGGCGUUCCCUGGUAGGUUGUCCUCCCCUCGGAGCACCCCUCUGGUACUUCUUUGGCCCAACAAGUAUCUUCUGGUCUAGAAAAAAUCUCCAAAAAUUUUCGCUGCGUUUGGACUCCGUUUGGUAUUGAUUUUCUGCGAAGUAAAAAACAAGCAAAAAACAGCAACUGGCACUGGGCACUAUGUCAAUAGGUUAGUCCCAAAAAAUGAUAUAAAGUUGGUAUAAAAUGAUUGUAAAACAUCCAAGAAUGAUAAUAUAACAGCAUGGAACAAUAAAAAAAUUAUAGAUACGUUGGAGACGUAUCAGAGCCCAACGCCUCACACACAUGCGCGUAUGUGUACGAGAGAAACGCGCAAACCUCCAUGAAUUUCUCGGCCCCGACCACCCACCGUAACCGGGAACUCCCAGAUAUUUUCCUCGCCCUCGCUUCUACCACCUUUUUUUCCAUCAUGGAAGGCCCAAAGAAUGUCAUGCAGCUGUGUCUCCGGCCCGCCCAGGAUGAAAAGCCCAUUUUCUGUCAUGAUUUUUUGUCAUAGAAGUAGGAGCCCACCAUGAUGAUACCGGGUUUUGUCAUAAUUAUCGUCAUAGAAGUGUCAUAAGCAUAACAGAAAAACAUCGUUCGGCCCAAAAUGUCACAGAUGUGUCUUUUUUUUGUAGUGCAAGUUGUCUAAGUGAUAUAUGAUCCAAAUCAACUAACCCAUGUCCGAUCAUCACGUGAUAUGGGGUAGUCAUCAAUGGUGAACAUCUCCAUGUUGAUCAUAUCUACUGUAUGACUCAUGUUCGACCAUUCGGUCUCCUGUGUUUCGAGGCCAUGUCUGUACAUGCUAGGCUCGUCAAUUUUAAGUCAAGUAUUCUGCAUAUGUAAAACUGGCUUACACAUGUUGUAUGCGAACAUAGAGUCUAUCACACUCGACCAUCACGAGGUGCUUCGAAACGACGAACUUUUUCAACGGUGCAUACUUAGGGAGAACACAAUUUCUUGAAAUUAAGUGAAGGGAUCAUCUUAUAAUGCUACUGUCGUCCUGAGAAAAAUAAGAUGCAUAAAAAGAUAAACAUCACAUGCAAUCAAUAUGUGACAUGAUAUGGCCAUUAUCACCUCGUGCCUUUGAUCUCCAUCUGCAAAGCACCGGCAUGAUCUCCAUCGUCACUGGCAUGAUACCAUGAUCUCCAUCAUCAUGAUCUCUAUCAUCGUGUUGUCACGUGGUCGUCUCGUCAACUAUUGCUUCUACAACUAUUGCUAAUGCUUAGUGAUAAAGUAAAGCAAUUACAUGGCGAUUAAUACAUUAAAGACAACCCUAUGGUUCCUGUCGGUUUCCCAAAUCAUCGACAUGCAAGUCGUGAAUCUAUUACAAAACAUGAUCAUCUCAUACAUCAACAUAUACCACAUCACGUUUUUUGGCCAUACCACAUCACAACAGGCCCUGCAAAAACAAGUUAGACGUCCUCUACUUUGUUGUUGCAAAUUUUACGUGGCUGCUAUGGGCAACUAGCAAGAACUGUUCUUACCUACGCAAAGCCACAACGGUGAUAAUCAAGCUGCCUUUUAACCUUCUACAAGGAUCACCUUCGUCAAAUUGGAUUCAACUAAAGUAGGAGAGAUAGACACCCACUAGCCACCUUAUGCAAAACAAGUUGGAUGUCAGUCGGUAGAACCGGUCUCAUGUGCGAGCACAUGUAAAGUUGGUCUGAACUGCUGAAUACAAAUAAGACAAGAGAGGUAAGCAGUUUGAGCAUCAACGCCCACAACUCUUUGUGUUCUACUCAUGCAUAUACAUCUACGCAUAGACCUAGAUCAUGAUGCCACUAUUGGGGAACGAAGCAUGAAAAUCAAAAAAUUUCCUACGAACACCCAAGAUCUAUCUCGGAGAAGCAUAGCAACGAGAGGGGAGAGUGUGUCUAUGUACCAUCGUAGAACGUUAAGCGGAAGUGUAUAUCACGCGGUUGACGUAUUUGUACUCGUCACGAUCCAAACCGAUGAAGUACCGAACGGAUGGCACCUCCGUGUUCAGGGACACGUACGGCUCGAUGACGUCUCCUCUUCCUUGAUCCAGAAAGCAAGGGAGGAGAAGUAGAUGGGAUCACCGGCAGCAUGACAGCGUGAUGGUGAUGGUGGUGGAGUGAUUCCGGCAGGGCUACGCCGAGCGCUACCGAAACAACGAAGACAGAGGAGUUACGAAGUAACGGGAUAGAGAGACCCCCUCCCCUCUAUACAUAGGUGGAGGGGCGUGGUGAGCAUCCCUCUAGGCCCUAGGGGCGCACCAAGGGGGAGGAGUUGGGCUCCUAGUCCAAUUCACUCCUUUUCCAUGCACAGGUGGACUUUCCACCUCUCCCAUGCCACAUGGGCCUUGAGGGACUUGUGCGCCUGGCCCAAUAAGGCCAGGGUGCCUCUUCUUAGACUAUGCUAGCCCUUGGGACAUGGUGGAACCCCUGGUGGACUUCCGGACUCCUCCGGAAGUUUUCGGAACCUUCUAGAGCUUCCUAGUACAAUACCGAAAAAACUGAAACUUUUUCCGAAACCCUGAAAGUCACUUUCCAUAUAUAAAUAUUUACCUCUAGACCAUUUCGGAGCUCCUCGUGAUGUCCGGGAUCUCAUCUGGGACUCCGAGCAACAUUCAGUCACCAACAUGCAUAUUGCAAUGUUACUCUAGCGUCACCGAACGUUAAGCGUGCGGACCCUAAGAGUUCGAGAAUCAUGUAGACAUGACCGAGACACCUCUCUGAUCAAUAACCAAUAGCGGAACCUGGAUGCCCAUAUUGGUUACUACAUAUUCCAUGAAGAUAUUUUAUCGGUUGAACCAAGAUGUCAAGGAUUUAGUUAAUCCCAUAUGCAAAUACCUUUGUCCGGCGAUAUGUUAUUUGCCCGAGAUUCGAUCAUCGGUAUCUCCAUACCUAGUUCAAUCUCGUUACCGACAAGUCUAUUUACUCUUUCCAUAAUGCAAGAUCUCAUGACUAACUCAUUAGCCACAUUGCUUGCAAGCUCUUUAUGAUGUUGUAUUACCGAGAGGGCCCAAAGAUAUCUCUCCGUCAUACGGAGUGACAAAUCCCAGUCUCGAUCCAUGCCAACCCAACAGACACCUUCAGAGAUACGUGUAGAGCAUCUUUAUGAUCACCCAGUCAUGAAGUGAUGUUUGAUAGCACACAAGGUAUUCCUCCCGUAUCCGGGAUUUGCAUGAUCUCAUGGUCUUAGGAAUAGAUACUUGACAUGAAGAAAGCUAUAGCAAUAAACUCAAGUGAUACGGUCGAAUGCUAAGCUUACGAUUGGGUCUUGUCCAUGACAUCAUUCUCCUAAUGACGUGAUCCCUUUGUCAAAUGAAAACUUGGUUAGGAAACCUUAACCAUCUUGGAUCAACGAGCUAGUCUAGUAGAGGCUCACUAGGGACAUAGUAUUUGUUUAUGUAUUCACACUUGUAUCUAAGUGUCCGGUCAAUACAAUUCUAGCAUGCAUAAUAAAACUUUAUCAUGAACAAAGAAAUAUAAUAAUAACCAAUUUAUUAUUGCCUCUAGGGCAUAUUUACAACACCUGGCACCGUACCUUUUGCUUCAUGGGCCGUGCGUUGGGGCACACGGCUAAGUGGUGCUCGAUCACCUCCCUCGGUACACCGAACAUGUCUGAUGCUGUCUAGGCGAACAUAUCAGCAUUUGCCCAGAGGAAGGCGACGAGCGCGUCUUACUAUUUGGGGGAGAGGCUGGCCUCGAUGGUGAGGGUGGGGCCCGAGCCACUGACAUCCAGCGACACCUUCGUCUCCGUGCAAACCUUCGAGAAUCACGACUUCUUCUUCGCGGGGGCGGCCUCAGAAGGCCCUGCUUCGUCUUCGUUUGCCGGGUACGCAGUGGCGGCAGCCUUGUUGGUGUGCUUGAGGGUCUGCAUGGCAUCCUUCUCAUCGCAGCGGACGAUGAUGGUCCUGCUGCAGCCCAACAUCUUGACUAUGUUGUAGGGGUGGUGGGUCACUACGAUGAACUUGGCGAGCAUCGGGUAGCCCAAGAUGGCGUUGUAGGACAGGCCAAUGUGCGCCACGCCGAAGUCGAUGAUCUUAGUGUGGUAGUUCUUGCUAGAGCCGAAGGUGACAGGGAGUCGCACUUGCCCGAGGGGCACCAUGGAGCUGUCGGUCACCCCCGAGAAGGGCCUCGUGGGCAUCAAGCACCCGUAGGGCACCUAGAGCAUCUCGAAGGUUUCCACGGAGAUCACGUUGAGGUCGGCGGCGCCGUCGAUGAGUGUCUUGGUGACUGCCACGUUGUUGAUGGUAGGUGUUCACAACAGAGGGAUGAUGCCCAAGGACUUUGUAGACUUGGGACGGUCACCGUAGUCGAAGCCAAUGGGGUACUGUGACCACUUGAGGGGCUUGACGUCUGCAGGCUCCGGGAGGGCUACGUUCACCUCACGGGAGAACUCCUUGAAGUGGCAGUUGGAUGGGGGAGCCUGAGCUCCGCCAAGGAUGCAGGCCACCGUGCGAGGCUCCUGGUAGCCCCCGGCGUCCUCCUCAAGCAGGUUGUCAUUGUUCCUGUUGGGGCGCGACAGGGCCGCGUUGGCCUCCUGAGGCUGGUUUUGCCAACCCACUACAAAAAAAUACACUUCCGUGAUGAUGCGUGUUCGUCACAGUAGGUCACGUUUUCUGUCAUGCAUGUACAUCCAUGACAAAUUUAUGACAGAAUCAAGAUAGUCAUACCUGUGCUGUCGUAGAAGUGUUCCAUGACAUUACCAAAAUUAUCAUCACGGAAGUGUCCACUUCCAUGACGAUAAAUCGUGCGUCACAGAAGUGCUUUCGUCAAGGGUGACCGACACGUGGCAUCCACCGUAACGGAACGCCGUUAAGCUAUCGGGUCCGGUUUUGGAUCCGAUAACCCAUUAACAGCCCCGACCAAUGGGGAUUUUCCACGUGUAAAAUCAUCAUUGGCUGGAGGAAACACGUGUCGGCUCACCGUUGGGACAGAUGGCAUCCACUCAUUGGACCCAAAGCAUCUAUGAUACGUCGACACGUGGCACGGCCCAACAGAGGGCCAUUCCUGUGAAAAGGUCGGCCCGUUUGACUUGGUCAAAAGGUGGCGGGCCGGCCCACGGCAAGCCUGUUAACGGCAUGUUCGCAUAUAGCCCAUUUAUAGCCCGCUAACCCAGGGCCCGUUUACGGCCUAUCCGAAUUAGGCCCAGUAGUGUCAUCUGGGCCGUCCAAUAUAAUUCCAGCCCGUUUUAACUUCCAGCCCAUGUAUGGCCCAUGACGUCUUUCGGCCCAUAUGAGGCCCUUAUUACUCUCGGCCCAUUAACGGCCCGUGGUAAAACUGGCCCGUAAUGAACAGUGUAUCACUUUAUACCCAUUAACGGCACGUGGUGAAACUGGCCCGUAAUGAACAGUGUAUCACUUUAUACCCAUUAACAACCCAUUAUUCUGUUGGGCCGUUUCCAGCCCAUGUUAUCUUUCAGCCUUCUCGGGGCCCAUUUAUUCUUGGGCUCAUUUCCACAUUCGUUUACUUACGACCCGUUAUUGUCAUUUUCUGCUUGUGGGCCAAAUUCAGCCCGUGGUUACAGUCGGCCCGUUUGUGUCCCGUUAAUACGUUGGGCCGUUUUCAUAGCGACAUCAAAAUACGGCCGAUUAACGACGGCCCGUUAUGGUCGGCCCAUGAACGGACGAUUUCAACUCUAGCCCAUUUACGACCAUAGUGUGGUCUGUUAUUGGCCCAUGUUUGGCCAACCGAUCAUAAGCCCGUAGAAGGCCCAUUGAUGAUACGGCCCAUUGUGUCUACGGCCCGUAUAAGGCCCAUUGUUUCUAUGCCACGUAGAAGGCCCAUUGUUUCUACGGCCCGUAGGAGGCCCAUGUUAACUACAGCCGGUGGGCAUCAAAGUUCGCCACCAGUGCAAAUAUAGGGAACACCCUACACUAUACAAAAUGGCUUGCUUUUUUCUUCAGCCGGUGGCUGCACGUUAAGAACAAAUUUUGUAUCGCACCAAAACAAAUUACAACUAUAAAACAAAAGGAAGGUUGGCAUAAAAGUUAACAGUCUAGCAGAUAAAUGCACCACCAGAAGUUCAGAAGCUCAGUUCAUUUGACCUGACUGUUACAUUUUCAUGCUGUAUUGUCCGAUGGAGCACCAUAACCUUCGCCUUCAGUUCUCCUAGGCUCCUGAACAAGAUAGCAAAUGUCUGAUAGUCUGGUUUCAAAACCAUGCAUAUCUUGACAACAUCGAAUGUCUCUCCUUGUUUCACAAAGGGUCUCUGUUAGGGAAUGGACUUGUGUCUGGAGCGCAGAUUCAACAUUGUUUUGAGCUUGCAUAUCUUGAUCAUGAGGCAGUUUGGACGAGAUUGCCUUAACAACCAAGCCAGUAUUACGCAGGAACGUGCUUUUGGCACUGUUAGUGGACAGGUACUGACCCACUGCAGCAAGAGCUGACAUUGCAGUUAUAGUUGCCUCGCCACCUUCAGAAGGUGGCGGUUCCACCAUUUUUUCCAUAGCUCGCUAAAAAGUUGUGGUUUUACAUUAGUAGUACCAGAACAGAAGAUAUUAAGGAGGCAGCAAAACCAAACAAAAU